AAAAGAACUUUGAAGAGAGAGUUCAAGAGUACGUGAAACCGUUCAGGGGUAAACCUGAGAAACCCAAAAGAUCGAAUGGGGAGAUUCAUCGUCAGCGGCUCUGGCUUCCGUGCGGCUCGCGAUGGCCGGGACCUCGGUCUCGCGUCACGCGUCCGCUGCGGUCUAUGUCCGGGGCCGUCGGCGUGCACUUCUCCCCUAGUAGGACGUCGCGACCCGUUGGGUGUCGGCCUACGGCCCGGUUGGUCGACUGUCGCGUCGCGUUCACCCGCGCACGCGGCAGACCACCGGUCGCCCGGCCGACUGCCCGGCGGUAUAGAUCGCUUAUAAUUACGGUAUUGGGCCGCAUCAAGUGCGUUCUGGCUCGCCGGCAGGCUCGUCUCGCUCGGAUUUACGGACCUAGCGCCGUUGCCGGGCGCUUGGCGUGGCCGUUAGUCGACGAUGUCCUCGGACUGGCUCUUACAUUCGAACGAAUAUACCGGUCGGCGACGCUACUGCUU
This 497-nucleotide ribosomal RNA is filed under the name Eupelmus fulvipes. RNAcentral's name for it is "eukaryotic LSU rRNA". Lineage: Eukaryota; Metazoa; Arthropoda; Insecta; Hymenoptera; Eupelmidae. The record is from RNAcentral.